GAUGAACGCUAGCGGCAGGCUUAACACAUGCAAGUCGAGGGGUAUAGUUCUUCGGAACUAGAGACCGGCGCACGGGUGCGUAACGCGUAUGCAAUCUACCUUUUGCAGAGGGAUAGCCCCAGAGAAAUUUGGAUUAAUACCUCAUAGUAUAGCAGUUUCGCAUGAAACCACUAUUAAAGUCACAACGGCAAAAGAUGAGCAUGCGUCCCAUUAGCUAGUUGGUAAGGUAACGGCUUACCAAGGCUACGAUGGGUAGGGGUCCUGAGAGGGAGAUCCCCCACACUGGUACUGAGACACGGACCAGACUCCUACGGGAGGCAGCAGUGAGGAAUAUUGGGUCAAUGGACGCAAGUCUGAACCAGCCAUGCCGCGUGCAGGAUGACGGUCCUAUGGAUUGCAAACUGCUUUUGUACGAGAAGAAACAACAUUACGUGUAAUGUCUUGACGGUAUCGUAAGAAUAAGGAUCGGCUAACUCCGUGCCAGCAGCCG
RNAcentral lists this ribosomal RNA (490 nucleotides) under uncultured bacterium. RNAcentral's name for it is "bacterial SSU rRNA". It matches the Rfam family "Bacterial small subunit ribosomal RNA", at positions 28 to 517 of the family's 1533-position model. The record is from RNAcentral.